AACCAAGAUGUGUGGGUAAUUGAUUUAACGGGGGUAAUUUGCCAGGUAUAACAUGAUAUAAUAUUUUAUCAUGAUAGUGGUGCAUGGCCGUUUCCAAUGGAUGCUGUGAAGUAAUGAUUAAUUUCAACAAGAUGUGAGACCCUCAUAUAGACAGAUGUAGUGAUACAUAUGAAGGAGAGGAUUAAAACAGGUCCGUUAUGCCCUAAGAUAAUCUGGGUUGCACGCGCAAUACAAUAAUAUUUGAUAUUAUAAGGGAUAAUAUAAUGUAAGAUAUAUUUGAACAUGGAAUUGCUAGUUAAUUUUAUUUAAUAAGUAGAAUUGAAUGAGUCCCUGUUCUUUGUACACACCGCCCGUCGCUAUCUAAGAUGGUAUUAUCUAUGAACAAAUUUAUAAAGAGAAUAGAUAGUACUAGAUGGAUAUAAGUCGAACU
This 430-nucleotide ribosomal RNA is filed under the name Nosema mylitta. RNAcentral's name for it is "SSU rRNA". It matches the Rfam family "Microsporidia small subunit ribosomal RNA", at positions 805 to 1276 of the family's 1311-position model. Lineage: Eukaryota; Fungi; Microsporidia; Nosematidae. The record is from RNAcentral.